Non-coding RNA from Acanthosepion pharaonis, 97 nucleotides. The record is from the annotation of a GenBank genome assembly. Lineage: Eukaryota; Metazoa; Mollusca; Cephalopoda; Sepiida; Sepiidae.
AGUUGAAACACCUGUUCCCGUACGAUCACCAAAUUUAAGCAACAAUGAGCGUGGCCAGUACCUAGAAUGGUGACCACUUGGGAAUAUCAGGUACUGG